AAUACUCAGAUUUCAUUUACAUAAGUAAUCAUUUAAUUCAGUAAAAUAAUCGGGAUCAUGUUAAUUAAUAAUGAAAAUAAAUUAAUGGACCUAAUGUUUAUUCUAAUUUAUUAAUUUUAAUUAUUUAUUAAAUUAUGUGAUAAUAUAUUAUGUAAAUAAAUAAUACAAACGGGAAAAUAACAUCACAAACACUUCUGUGGCCAGGCGACUACUAAACCUUCCAUAGACACUCCCUGCAAGCGACAGUGGAAGCUGACAAGCAAACUGACAUCGUUAUAGAUACGGCACACUUGAAAAAAUUUAUAAACACAGAUUCUAUCACCAGUAUUCACAAUAAAUAUAUGUUUUAAUGAUAUCAACUGUAGAACGUGGUAUAUUUAUUUAUUGAAAUUGGGCGCCUAAUUUUAUAUAUAUAUAUAUGUUUCUCCAGAAAUAAACAAAUGAUUAUGAUUCCUCUUAUUAAUAUUGUUUUAUCCAAGUUAUUACACUCAUUUGUUCCUGGCUAAUUUGUUUCCGCUUACAAGACAUGUAAGUGUCUAAAAUGUGUAAUAAGGAAGUGUAGAGUGAAUCAUAAACUAGAUAUUCAUUUAUGAAUUCGAUUUGUAAAAUGUAUAUUUUAAAAGUAAUCCCAAAGGUUAGGAAUUUGACGUAACUUAUUAUUUUUUUUAUUAUCUUGACUUAAAAUAACAAGCGAACAUAAAUGACACCUAUUUAGGUGAUCAAAUAGUCUCAAUAACAUAUAUACUAUAUCAGUGAUAGUUAUCUGUAUGCGGACAUAUAUUCCUAGAGAGCCAAAAAUCUAAGUAAAGGUAUUUCAUACUAGUAAUGUCUCUAUUCACGUAACCUUACGUCUAGUUCAGUUGUUCGGAGACACUUCAAUUUCUGCAGCACUGGACAUCUGGAUUGCGGUAACCAGAGACAAGGACGUUUUCGACCAGCUGAAAACUACGAAUACUACUGUUCUAGUUGUAAAAUUAGAUGACGGCAGUCCAGCAUCCUUCUCUGAUCCUGAAAAGUCUUUAUAAUUAAUUUGAAACGAUCUCACCGACGUAGACCACAUGGAACCUUAGAUGUAUGGUCGUCAUGGUUGUGUCGGGAACUCAGGCCUCAGGAUUCUUGCGACAGCGACUGACGGCUCCGACCAUCGUCCUUCACGGAUGGAAAGUACGAAGAUUCGAACCCAGGAUGGUCAGGAAUGUAUAUAUCGACUGAAGAGUAAGUUCAUUCUUGAAGUUCGGAAAAUCCAUAAUUCUGUCAAAUUAAUGCAGAAUUUCAUGAACCCAACUUGACGUCUACCAAAAUAACGGAACUCAGCUGUAGUCUCUUCUUGUGAGCUGAACGGAAAUGUAAAGAGAAGUACGACCCUCACUCAGUACGUAUCUUCCUCUCCAGAUAAUUUUUCCUUAUUUUAUUUGCUUUUUACACAUCCAUAUUCAAAAAACCACUAUCGAACGAAUACCUGUUUAUAGCAACCAUAGAUGAAUUAACCAAAGCUGGAAUUGAAAAUCCACAGACUUAUGCAAGUAGAAAUAACGAGAAUUUAAACCAACGACGUAUAUAUAUCAUAGACCCAGCAUGCCUUCUGAAAGUUGAGGCCAACAUGUCCUCCCGCCGCGAACAGCUGAUUGUGGGCCGUUUUCUGUUGUUUUGCUAUUAGAAUACAUUGAAGCUAUGUGCAGCUGCCUGUGAAUUUGGUUCAGAAAUGUGUUGCCUACGGUUGUAAUGAAAAAUCUGUCAAAGGAGCAUCGGUGUCGUUUCACAGGUAAGUGUAUUUAUCAAAUUUAUGGUGUAUUUUGGGAUUUUAUGUCAAAAUUGUUCUGAAAUAUUUAUACUACUUUUACGUUUUGGUUGCAUGAUAGUUUGACUUAAAAAUUAAUUUAUAUUUACGUUAAAUGUGGGGUAUAUGUAUGGUAUAACUAUUGGUUACAUGUUUUUAUCGGAAUUGUGUGUUAUAUUUGUGUGUUUAGUUUUCCUGGAGAUGAAUUGACGAAGAAGUGAACUCUAUCUGAGGCGGGAAAGUUUUGUGCCAUCCAAGCAUUUCAGAAUUUGUUCUAAACACUUCUCCCAAGAUUGUUUUGACAAGGAAGUUUGUUCCAACUGUUUUUGACUUACCGGCACACUUACAGCCUAAAAAUGCCAAGAGGAAAGCACCUACCGAGAGAAGCCAAAUUGUGUCUCAGCCGCAUGAAAACGCCACCACCUCGCAGCAAUCCACUACCAAGGAUAUUCAUACAGUUGGAAAAAAGUUAAGAUUGGCAUAUCUAGGUGACUUCAAUGAGAAGAACCUGACUUCCCAGCAGAAGUAAGAAGUGCCUUGGUGCUGCAAAGGAAAUAAGAUUAAAAUACCAUAAGAAACUGAAACUCCUUCAUCAGCGGUGUAAACGAGCCACUGCAAAAAUAGUGAGCCUUCAGGCAGUUAUCUCGCAUCUGCAGGACAAGAAACUGAUGGGUGAUGUUGCUGCAGAUACACUACAGAAAUAUUUGCCACCUGCUGUUGCGGAUCUCAUCCAGCGAUGGAAGAAGGGGCCAACCAGAGAAGCCUAUCCUCCAGAGCUGAGGACGUUUGCUCUGACACUGAAUUUCUACUCGGUAAAUAUGUAGUUAAGCGGUAUUUGCGAAAAAAAAUUGUUAAAAAUCUGAAAAUACUUUUAUUGUAUGCUCUUCAACUUCCUCUUUUCAUUAAAAGCGGCGGAGAUAAGAAAUUCCAAAUACUUUAGGAGAUAUUGCAGUUCUUAUUUUGCUAUGCAAGACCUGUGUAAUCAUUCGACCAUCGCAAUUUUUUUAUUGCCAUGUGUUUGUGAAUGCCUAAUUAAUGAAAAUGGUUGAUUAGGUCAGGUCAGUUACAUUAUAAAUACUUUGAAACUAAGCGUACAUAAAAAAUAAUAUGAAUUAAUUUCAAUGGUUUUUUAGUUUUAAAGUAUUUAUAAUGUAACUUACCUGACCUAACAAACCGGGACAAAGGAUGAACAGUAACAACUCACGUAAAAUUAUUUUGUUACUUAUUACUUGCGCAACAAUAUCCAAAUAACAAAUAAAACUUUAAAAUUAGAAACGUUAAAAGCUCACCUAAGUUGGAGGCGGUAAUUAAACACUGUUUUAAACAAUAAAUGAACUAAAAAAUAACAUAUUGGUUCAUUUGAAUUCUGGCCUAUCACGAACAAUCACGUGACAUCAUUAUCCAAUAAAAAAAUAGAUACUCGUAAACAAAAAACAAUGUUGAAUGCCACAUGAAUGCACUGGUAUUGUGAUGAAAUUUAAAAAUUCGAUAUCUCCUAAAGUAUUUGGAAUUUCUUAUCUCCCCUGCUUUUAAUGAAAAUAGGAAGUUGAAGAGCAUAUAAUAAAGGUAUUUUCGGAUUUUUAACAAUUUUUUUUCGCAAAUACCGCUGAACUACAUAUGAUGAAAUUAAAAAAUAUAUCUCCUAAAGUAUUUGGAAUUUCUUACCUCAACCACUUUUAAUGAAAAGAGGAAGUUAAAGAGCAUAUAAUGAAGGUAUUUUCGGAUUUUUUACAUUUUUUUUCUCGAAUACCGCUCAACUACAUAUUUACCUUCUACUCUCCUAAGGCGUACAAUUAUGUUAGAAAAAUGUUCAUGAAGUGUUUGCCACAUCCUGUUACACUGCAGAAGUGGUAUUCAACUGUUGAUGGAUAGCCAAGCUUCAGUACUGAGGCUUGUACAGCAUUGAAACUGAAGACAGCAGAAAAUGUUACUUGUGGUAAACCUACAUUAUGUUCUUUGAUGUUAGAUGAAAUGGCCAUACGUAAACAUAUAGAAUUUGAUGGUCAGAGUUUCAUUGGAUAUACUGACUUCGGUACAGGGUUGGAUGAUGAUUCCCUACCUGAAGCAAGGGAAGCAUUGGUGUUCAUGGCUGUUGCUCUAAAUGGUAGCUGGAAGAUCCCAGUAGGGUAUUUCUUGAUUGCUGGUCUGCUUGUAUAAUAGUCUACCUCAGCAUGUUAAAAAUAUCAAUAGUAAAAAAUAAUUUGCAAUAGAGUUAAAAAAAAAUAGCAGAAGAACUGUUUUUCUAUUCCUUCAAAGAUAUUGAAGACUAUAAAAAUAAAAAAUAAUAGUAAAUAUUUUAUAGGGUAAUUUCAAACCCA
This is a long non-coding RNA of Bacillus rossius redtenbacheri, 4095 nucleotides long. RefSeq lists it as uncharacterized. NCBI's taxonomy places the organism in Eukaryota, Metazoa, Arthropoda, Insecta, Phasmatodea, Bacillidae. The transcript is spliced from 3 exons. The record is from RefSeq and is a predicted model, not a curated record.